AUGGAUCAGGAAAAUGUGGGAAGUAUUUGUAUCCGGAGAUUAGAGAAAGAUUACUCUGUUUUUGAGUAUAUCAGUAAAGGAAGCCUUCACAAUCAUCUUACUGAUGAAUUAAGAGGACUUGAGUGGCAUACACGUUAUCAAACUAUAAAGGGAAUUUGUGAUGGUCUACAAUAUCUUCACAAGGAAAAGGAUGUUGUUCAUAUGGAUCUUAAACCUCACAAUAUACUGAUGGAUGAUCUCAUGAUACCAAAAAUUACGGACUUUGGUGUAUCAAAACACCUUGAUGGAAUAUCACAAGCUGUUACUGGAGGAUGUCAUGUGUCACUAGGAUAUUGUGCUCCAGAAUAUCUGCACCGUGGCCAGGUGUCUUUCAAGUCAGACAUAUUUAGUCUGGGUGUUAUAAUUAUAGAUCUCGUGACUGGACGUAAGGAGGAUCCUGAUACUAAAAUUGUACUAAGAAGAUGGAGGUACAGGUGGAAUAGAUCGGCCACUUAUCCACCAUUGGGAUACCAACAAGUUACUGAAUGCAUAGAAAUUGCAGCACGCUGCGUGUCACAUGACCCGAAAAAACGACCUUAUAUAUCGGAUAUAAUCCGUCAGCUCGAUGAAUUGGAGAGUACAAAUGGGCACGUCAACUAUGCUAAUGAACCUACAUUUAGCCUGAUAAGCCCUUACCCUUGGGAGCUGCUUGACAUAGAUCCUCUCGAGCUGCAUUUCCCUUUUGAGGCAAAUAAGCAGAUACCAUGUUUGCUUCAACUAAGUAACCCGAGGGAUGAUUACAUUGCCUUCUACAUGCAAACCUCAAGUGGACAGUACGUACCUCGUAGAACCAAGCAAAGGAAUUGUACCGCCCCAAUCCAAGAGCAAUGUCAUCAUAACAUUUCAAGCACAGAAGAUGGCACCGCAUCGCAUGCGGAAUAA
Molecule: ribosomal RNA, 921 nt
Filed under: Triticum aestivum (bread wheat)
Lineage: Eukaryota; Viridiplantae; Streptophyta; Magnoliopsida; Poales; Poaceae
Description: partial small subunit ribosomal RNA
Source: RNAcentral